Molecule: ribosomal RNA, 406 nt
Filed under: uncultured bacterium
Lineage: Bacteria
Description: partial 16S ribosomal RNA
Rfam family: Bacterial small subunit ribosomal RNA
Source: RNAcentral
AUUGAACGCUGGCGGCAGGCCUAACACAUGCAAGUCGAACGAGUGGCGGACGGGUGAGUAAUUUCUUGGCACCUGCCUGAUGGAGGGGGAUAACUACUGGAAACGGUAGCUAAUACCGCAUACCAUCAGAUGUGCCCAGAGGGGAUUAGCUUGUUGGUGGGGUAAAGGCGCACCAAGGCGACGAUCCCUAGCUGGUCUGAGAGGACGACCAGCCACACUGGGACUGAGACACGGUCCAGACUCCUACGGGAGGCAGCAGUGGGGAAUUUUGGACAAUGGGCGAAAGCCUGAUGCAGCCAUGCCGCGUGUAUGAAGAAGGCCUUCGGGUUGUAAAGUACUUUUGGCAGGGAAGCGGUACCCGAAGAAGAAGCACCGGCUAACUACGUGCCAGCAGCCGCGGUAAGAG